UACGGAAGGCAGCAGGGGGAAUAUUGCACAAUGGGCGAAAGCCUGAUGCAGCUAUGCCGCGUGUAUGAAGAAGGCCUUAGGGUUGUAAAGUACUUUCAUCGGGGAGGAAAAACAAAACUAAUAAUUUUAUUUCUUGACGUUACCCGAAAAAGAAGCACCGGCUAACUCCGUGCCAGCAGCCGCGGUAAUACGGAGGGUGCUAGCGUUAAUCAGAAUUACUGGGCGUAAAGAGCACGUAGGUGGUUUUUUAAGUCAGAUGUGAAAUCCCUGGGCUUAACCUAGGAACUGCAUUUUGAAACUGAAAUACUAGAGUAUCGUAGAGGGAGGUAGAAUUCUAGGUGUAGCGGUGAAAUGCGUAGAUAUCUGGAGGAAUACCUGUGGCGAAAGCGGCCUCCUAAACGAAUACUGACACUGAGGUGCGAAAGCGUGGGGAGCAAACAGGGAUUAGAUACC
This 453-nucleotide ribosomal RNA is filed under the name uncultured bacterium. RNAcentral describes it as "bacterial SSU rRNA". It matches the Rfam family "Bacterial small subunit ribosomal RNA", at positions 340 to 786 of the family's 1533-position model. The record is from RNAcentral.